This 381-nucleotide ribosomal RNA is filed under the name uncultured bacterium. Its description in RNAcentral is "bacterial SSU rRNA". It matches the Rfam family "Bacterial small subunit ribosomal RNA", at positions 427 to 793 of the family's 1533-position model. The record is from RNAcentral.
AAAGCACUUUCAGUAGGGAGGAAGGUAGUGUAGUUAACACCUGUAUUAUUUGACGUUACCUACAGAAGAAGCACCCGGCUAACUCCGUGCCAGCAGCCGCGGUAAUACGGAGGGGUGCGAGCGUUAAUCGGAAUUACUGGGCGUAAAGCGCAUGCAGGCGGCCUGUUAAGUCAGAUGUGAAAGACCCGGGGCGUUAACCUCGGAAUUGCAUUUGUAAACUGGCAGGCUAGAGUCUUGUAGAGGGGGGUAGGAAUUUCAGGUGUAGCGGUGAAAUGCGUAGAGAUCUGAAGGAAUACCAGUGGCGAAGGCGGCCCCCUGGACAAAGACUGACGCUCAGAUGCGAAAGCGUGGGGAGCAAACAGGAUUAGAUACCCCUGGUAG